RNAcentral lists this ribosomal RNA (498 nucleotides) under uncultured bacterium. Its description in RNAcentral is "partial 16S ribosomal RNA". It matches the Rfam family "Bacterial small subunit ribosomal RNA", at positions 28 to 507 of the family's 1533-position model. The record is from RNAcentral.
GACGAACGCUGGCGGCGUGCCUAAUACAUGCAAGUCGAACGAGAGCGACCGGUGCUUGCACUGGUCAAUCUAGUGGCGAACGGGUGAGUAAAACGUGGGUAACCUGCCCAUCAGAGGGGGAUAACAUCCGGAAACGGAUGCUAAAACCGCAUAGGUCUUCGAGCCGCAUGGCUUGAAGAGGAAAAGAGGCGCAAGCUUCUGCUGAUGGAUGGACCCGCGGUGCAUUAGCUAGUUGGUGAGGUAACGGCUCACCAAGGCCGUGAUGCCUAGCCGACCUGAGAGGGUGAUCGGCCACAUUGGGACUGAGACACGGCCCAAACUCCUACGGGAGGCAGCAGUAGGGAAUCUUCCGCAAUGGACGCAAGUCUGACGGAGCAACGCCGCGUGAGUGAAGAAGGUUUUCGGAUCGUAAAACUCUGUUGUUAGAGAAGAACAAGUGCUAGAGUAACUGUUAGCGCCUUGACGGUAUCUAACCAGAAAGCCACGGCUAACUACGUG